RNAcentral lists this ribosomal RNA (666 nucleotides) under Triticum aestivum (bread wheat). Its description in RNAcentral is "partial small subunit ribosomal RNA". The record is from RNAcentral. Lineage: Eukaryota; Viridiplantae; Streptophyta; Magnoliopsida; Poales; Poaceae.
AUGUCGAGCGCAGGCGAAGCUUCUCGUCGGAUCCAACAUGCACAGCUGUCCAUCUCUCCACCCCUAUCUUCUCAUCCUCAUUCCCAAUUCCUUCCUCUCUUCUCUCUGUCCACUCCAAUCUUCCACUUAAUGGUCGCCGCUGCUUCAAGGCCUCCCCGCAGAGCUCUCGAUCUAGAUCUCAGAUCGAGGCCACCACCAAGCCCCUCGACCACCUCCUCCUUCCUUCACCGGCUCAGCUCCCUCUGGCGCGCGCCGCUCCACCUGAGCUCCAGUGCCUCCCCGCAACACAUCCUUCUCCCUCCUUUCCCCUUCUUCCUCUCUUCCUUCCCCUGCCUCUCAGUUUUUUUUCCUUUUUCCCUUGGCCAUGAGCAGGAAGCACACAACGAGCCUCGCUACUGCUGCCACCACGACCGUCAUCGCGCCGCCACCGUCAUCUCCAAGUUCUCCAGCCGGUGGCAAACAUCUCCCCUGCGACUGGUGCCACCACCCUCUGCCUCACCUCCAUCAUGCUUGAGGACAAUGACGGCAUGGCUGCCGUCGACCCGUCCCGGGCCCCUCGUCUCGCUCGUGUGGGGCGCACCUGCGCAUGGACCAUCGGUCGAGCAAGCCGCCCUCGCCAGCGGGAGCGCCGGUGCCGCUCGCCGAAAGCAUCUGAUGGGGGCCUAG